Molecule: long non-coding RNA, 193 nt
Organism: Mytilus trossulus (common blue mussel)
Lineage: Eukaryota; Metazoa; Mollusca; Bivalvia; Mytilida; Mytilidae
Exons: 2
Source: RefSeq, a predicted model, not a curated record
CAGAUAUUCUGUUUAAUAUGUCCUGAAACACAAACUUCAGCGAAGACCUACUUUAGUAAAGAUGCAUGGCAGCUUGUUUUAAAUACUCUCAAAGUAUUAGAAGAUAUGUAUAUUAGUAACACUCAGAAGUAUUAUGAUAAGAUUUCUCCAUGCCAAACAAGAAAAGGCAAAGCUUUAAUAGGUCCAGUUGAAG